CUGCAGUCGAGGGGCAGCAGGGGUAGCAAUACCCGCUGGCGACCGGCAAACGGGUGCGGAACACGUACGCGACCUUCCUUCAAGCGGGAGAUAGCCCGGAGAAAUCCGGAUUAAUAUCCCAUAGGAUUGUGGAUCGGCAUCGAUCAGCAAUUAAAGAUUUAUCACUUGAAGAUGGGCGUGCGUCUGAUUAGGUAGUUGGUGAGGUAACGGCUCACCAAGCCGACGAUCAGUAACUGGCGUGAGAGCGCGACCAGUCACACGGGCACUGAGACACGGGCCCGACUCCUACGGGAGGCAGCAGUAAGGAAUAUUGGUCAAUGGACGCAAGUCUGAACCAGCCAUGCCGCGUGGAGGAUGAAGGUCCUCUGGAUUGUAAACUUCUUUUAUCUGGGAAGAAAUGGUUGCUUUCUAGCGAUCUUGACGGUACCAGAUGAAUAAGCACCGGCUAACUCCGUGCCAGCAGCCGCGGUAAUACGGAGGGUGCAAGCGUUAUCCGGAUUCACUGGGUUUAAAGGGUGCGUAGGCGGAACAGAAAGUCCGUUGUGAAAUCUCCGAGCUUAACUCGGAAAUUGCGGUGGAUACUAUUGUUCUUGAAUAUUGUUGAGGUUAGCGGAAUAUGUCAUGUAGCGGUGAAAUGCAUAGAUAUGACAUAGAACACCAAUUGCGAAGGCAGCUGGCUAAACAAAUAUUGACGCUGAGGCACGAAAGCGUGGGGAUCAAACAGGAUUAGAUACCCUGGUAGUCCACGCCCUAAACGAUGAUUACUCGACAUUUGCGAUACACAGCAAGUGUCUGAGCGAAAGCAUUAAGUAAUCCACCUGGGAAGUACGACCGCAAGGUUGAAACUCAAA
Molecule: ribosomal RNA, 851 nt
Filed under: uncultured bacterium
Lineage: Bacteria
Description: bacterial SSU rRNA
Rfam family: Bacterial small subunit ribosomal RNA
Source: RNAcentral